Molecule: long non-coding RNA, 1196 nt
Organism: Clupea harengus (Atlantic herring)
Lineage: Eukaryota; Metazoa; Chordata; Actinopteri; Clupeiformes; Clupeidae
Source: Ensembl
AGGCCCACUUGUACAUAAAUAAAUACAAAUAAUUGUGUGACUUCAGACGGCGCAUGCGCAAUCCUGUUUUAGCGCCUACAAUAAAACCAUUAGCCCCAGUAACUCUUUUUUCAGUGCUUUCCUGAAUUUACAGUCUUUAUCAACAGAAUCAUUUAACAAGGCUAAGCGACACAAUGGAAACAUUCCCUGGUUAAAACUGAACCCACAGGUCAAGGUUUGUACCACGUGACUAAACACUCACAGCAGGCGGAACAUCUCCGCUGAUAACAUCUUUUUUUAGCGGAGCAAGGCUGUCUGCUCCGCAAGCGAACUCACUACGGCUUUCACUGUGUUGAUCAAGUCAGCACCUCAGCCGGUUGAGACACGGCUGCCGUCAGUGAGCCUGCUUGAUGGACGGUGUUUGUAUGAAGACAGUGAGCCGCGGUGUGUGACAGGAGACACACGCUCCCUGUAUUGAGCUUAUGAAAUGAAACUCUCGUUAGCGCUCGGAACGUCAGCUCGCAAACCCUCGGUUUGACAGGCACCUGCCUCGACGUUGACAUUGUUGCACGCGAGGGGAUGCCUACGCUCGAAAAUAACGGAGUGUGUGGUUUGUCGUAGAGGGAUUCGCUUAUAAAACAACAGCCCCUGAGCACCGUUGCAUCGUGUCCGGUCGCUGAGACAACCUUCGACUUUUCAGCCUUUGCAGUCCGAUUUGGUCUCAGCAAGAAUCUUGAGCCUGCCAGCACCGUAUUACCGGAGCUUAUUGAGCUCAGCUCGGUUCAGCAAAUAGCUACUCUAUCAUCCAUUCUGUCAUCAAAGAACAAUCUCCAUUCGUGUCGUGCAGGCGAGAUGGACCCUAAGCAGCUGAGCCAGCCUGAUGGAACUACGCCAUCUCCUGCACCGACCGAGGGCGGCACCUCUCCUGCACCGACCGAGGGCGGCACCUCCUCUCCUGACCCCCCGACCUCUGACCUCACGGCUGCUCCCUUGGUCCCGGCCCGCCCACGCCGACCUCAGAGGGUACCUCAUGUGGAGGGCUCCAUCGACGUCUCCGAACCCAAAUCCUCAGGGGCUCCCGAAACCUCUCCUGCCCCUGCCCCUGAUGCCCCUGCCCCUGCCCCUGCCCCUGAUGCCCCUGCCCCUGCCCCUGCCUCUGCCCCUGCCCCUGCCCCUGAUGCCCCUGCCCCUGCCCCUGCCCCUGCCCCUGAUGCCCC